UGUUCCGUGAUGGCACAAAGCUACCUUCGU
RNAcentral lists this non-coding RNA (30 nucleotides) under Mus musculus (house mouse). The record is from RNAcentral. Lineage: Eukaryota; Metazoa; Chordata; Mammalia; Rodentia; Muridae.